AUGCUUCCCCAGAGCACUCCAGAGAUGCAAACUAUUCAGCCUCUUUCAUUGUUAUGUUGGAACAAAGCAGCAAUCCAGGUUAAAAAUUUACAAAGAGGUGCCUUCACCACCGUGAGUGCCUGGGAAUCUGUGCCGAAGGCUGGCCGGCUGCCUCCGCUGGCCGCCAUCCCAAGGUGGAAGGCGCACCUCUUGGGGCAAAGGUCGAGGCUGAGAAGCGCCCCUGGCCAAUGGCGGACGGCCUCUGGCCCCUCGGAGGAAGCCGAGGGGAGCCUCCCAGUGGUCCGGCAGGAGCGUCCGGUCUCUGCAAGAUGGACCGACAUCUGCAGGUGGGUCUCUCUGCUCAAAGGUCUCCCUCUGGAACCCUUUCCCCAGCUUAGAGGGGCUUCUAGGUGUCUCCUCGUAGGCAAGUGGCCAUGCACCUACCUCACAACAAAUGUGGCUGACGGAUGGGUGGGAUCCUGACAGGUAGGAGCAACUGUUUUCCAGUCGUUCACAGAACCCUCCAAUGACUGGAAGCUUUCUCUUCUGCUUUAACUCCUAGUGCUUGACCGACCUGCAGGACAAAACAGGAAAAAGGAUGAGGAUUCCUGCGUGACCCAGAAGCCUGCAUCCAGCAAAUCCCACCUGGUUUAAGGCCAGUGGUUGCCACCGAUUGUUUUCGGUGCCCUAAGGGAAGGAGAACUUCACCCUCUCCCUUCUCUCCCACUCCUCGGCCUUUCUCGGCAGUCCAGGGGCCGAUUUAAUGAAAACCCCAUAAUUAUCCAGCCUUCUCUUGUUCUGUCUGGGACAAUGGGUGACACUGAGCGCGGAUGCCGUCAGCCCCUGGGGGAGCUGAGCAGAUAAGAGGGAGCCAGUUGUGUGUGUGGGUGUGUAUGUAUGUAUUUCAGGCAGAUGGGGCAGGGAAGAGCAUCAGAGCUCCCUGUGUGUGUGUGCUCGCUCUCUGGAUGUUCAGUUUCCCUCAACCAACCCUUCAAAUCAUGCGAUGCAAAACGUGGAGAGUGAGCAGGUUUUUCCCUAGGUCUGAAAAGGGAACCAGUGGCCUGAUGUCACUGUGAAGGCGGCGGCGGCUGCGUCCAGCUAUUCAGCGCAGAGGGAAAGUUUGGCGUUUGGCGGCUCUUCACUCCUCCUGCCCUCAUUGACGCUGGUUUGCAUUUGUUUUUGCUAGUGGUUUGCGCAAGAAUUUAUUAGCCAUUACCUCUUCUCUAUUGCAAAUUGAUGAGGUUUCCAUUUCUCCCUCCAUAUGCAAAUGUAAUCUCCGUCUGGCUUGAAUAUUGAUGGACUGGCUGAAGAGGGGGUUAAUUCGGCUAAUCCCUGGGAGCCGAUCCCGGGGAUUAUUUGGUUUGGAGUCACCUUGGAAAGACCACCCACUUUCCCCCCGUCCCGUCCCGUCCCGUCCCUAGAUGUGGCUGGCAUGGCGAUGCCGAGAACACUGGAGCCUUUCUGCGUCGGCGGCGGCCUCCCU
Molecule: long non-coding RNA, 1462 nt
Filed under: Pogona vitticeps (central bearded dragon)
Lineage: Eukaryota; Metazoa; Chordata; Lepidosauria; Squamata; Agamidae
Description: lncRNA (ENSPVIG00000017778.1)
Source: RNAcentral